AAAGUUAUAGUCAAAGAUGACAUCUAAGUUGCAUUUAGAAAGUGCUUUUCAUAAGCUAGCUUUA
RNAcentral lists this transfer RNA (64 nucleotides) under Pandalus borealis (northern shrimp). RNAcentral describes it as "tRNA-Ala". Lineage: Eukaryota; Metazoa; Arthropoda; Malacostraca; Decapoda; Pandalidae. The record is from RNAcentral.